GGUGAGGUAGCUUAACUGGUAAAGCGUCCCCUUGGAAGGCAAACGAGUUUGUUUUCUUUCCAAGGGACAGAAGAAGGUUCAAGUCCUUCCUUCACCC
RNAcentral lists this transfer RNA (97 nucleotides) under Terrimonas sp. RNAcentral describes it as "tRNA-OTHER". It matches the Rfam family "tRNA". Rfam says of the family: Transfer RNA (tRNA) molecules are approximately 80 nucleotides in length. Their secondary structure includes four short double-helical elements and three loops (D, anti-codon, and T loops). Further hydrogen bonds mediate the characteristic L-shaped molecular structure. tRNAs have two regions of fundamental functional importance: the anti-codon, which is responsible for specific mRNA codon recognition, and the 3' end, to which the tRNAs corresponding amino acid is attached (by aminoacyl-tRNA synthetases). tRNAs cope with the degeneracy of the genetic code in two manners: having more than one tRNA (with a specific anti-codon) for a particular amino acid; and 'wobble' base-pairing, i.e. permitting non-standard base-pairing at the 3rd anti-codon position. Lineage: Bacteria; Pseudomonadati; Bacteroidota; Chitinophagia; Chitinophagales; Chitinophagaceae. The record is from RNAcentral.